UAGGGAAUCUUCGGCAAUGGACGAAAGUCUUACCGAGCAACGCCUCGUUAGUGAAGAAGGUUUUCGGAUCGUAAAACUCUGUUGUUAGAGAAGAACAAGGACGUUAGUAACUGAACGUCCCCUGACGGUAUCUAACCAGAAAGCCACGGCUAACUACGUGCCAGCAGCCGCGGUAAUACGUAGGUGGCAAGCGUUGUCCGGAUUUAUUGGGCGUAAAGCGAGCGCAGGCGGUUUCUUAAGUCUGAUGUGAAAGCCCCCGGCUCAACCGGGGAGGGUCAUUGGAAAAUGGGAGACUAGAGUGCAGAAGAGGAGAGUGGAAUUCCAGGUGUAGCGGAGAAAUGCGUAGAUAUAUGGAGGAACACCAGUGGCGAAGGCGGCUAUAUGGUAUGUAACUGACGCUGAGGCAAGAAAGCGUGGGGAGAAAAAAGG
RNAcentral lists this ribosomal RNA (429 nucleotides) under Gemmatimonadota bacterium. RNAcentral describes it as "Gemmatimonadetes bacterium partial 16S ribosomal RNA". It matches the Rfam family "Bacterial small subunit ribosomal RNA", at positions 355 to 776 of the family's 1533-position model. The record is from RNAcentral. Lineage: Bacteria; Pseudomonadati; Gemmatimonadota.